Molecule: small nucleolar RNA, 115 nt
Organism: Loxodonta africana (African savanna elephant)
Lineage: Eukaryota; Metazoa; Chordata; Mammalia; Proboscidea; Elephantidae
Product: small nucleolar RNA SNORA26
Source: Ensembl
GUGCCUUGUAAGGCUGAUGCAGUGCCCAAGGUGGCUGCACAGGAGGGUAAGUCUCCACAAAACCCAGAGAAGAGAUUCUGCAACUCCUCUUUGGAUCCUGUCUGGAGUCACAGUG